This is a long non-coding RNA of Esox lucius (northern pike), 2476 nucleotides long. NCBI's taxonomy places the organism in Eukaryota, Metazoa, Chordata, Actinopteri, Esociformes, Esocidae. The record is from Ensembl.
CAGGGAGUUCCUUCAUUUGUUUUUCAACGUAGAUAAUGUUUGUUCAUUUGUUUAGGAUUUAGUCACUUUCUGCUGUGUUUUCAGGCUGGAAUCAUUGAGGGGAACUAAUCAGUAGCAACGUCUCUGGACGUGGAUGUCAGGAGUGAAGGUCCUGAAAGGAAUUAGUAGAACACCAUAGGAAAGAAACAAUUUAAUUAUGGAUAUGAAUAAAUUGAUGUCCACAUGUCAGAUGACCGGACCAGGAUUUGGUCUUUCUGUGUUUCUCUUGGCUCUGAUUGUUAUUUUUCAAUCCACCACAGGUAGGCUUGACUUUGCUGACCUUUGGGUUUGUCUUGCCAAUCGUACAUGUAAGGUAGCUACAGUACUGUAAACAGGGACAUCAAGUUGCCUAUCACAGCAUUUUGCUAGCACCAAAGGAUUGGUUGUUUGAAUCCCUGUGCUAACAAUAUUUUGGACAUUUAGCAGACUGUUCCAGUGCCUUACAAGAGCCAUUAGGGUUAAGUGACUUGCUCAAAGGCUCAACAAUAGCUGAAUCUUUUUUGAGAUUGGGCCAGUAACUGGUUGAAAUCCCUUUGUUCUAAGCACUAGACUACCUGCCAAUGAAAAUGAAUGACGUGCCUAAAUCGUAGUGCAAGUCUCCUAGAACGUCUGCUUAACAUAUUGUGUGAAAUCAGAAAGCAAAAGUUGCAGAUACCCUUGAUUUUACAAUGUCAACCACAGACCAGUUCACAUUGAAAUAGCCAAACAACCAUUUCCAUGAGUACUAGAGCUUUUGCAUCCUAGGCAAAUGAGCAUAAGGUAUUUCUCUGGCUAUUCCUUCUCACCUCUUUCAAAACUAACCAUCUUCUAGCCCAGAACUACACUACGCUUCCAAAUAAUGCAUCAGUGGCCAUUGGUCAGCCUGCUGCUUUCCAGUGUGGUGUGUUCAAUUCUACUGGACAACUUAACUUCACCCUCUACGGCAGCCAUGAAAACAAAACCCUUAUCUGCCCGGGAGACCACACUGAGUACCUGGCUCUUCAGACAAUAAAAGGUUACUGCAACAAAACGGGCAAUAAGUAUUUUGCAACCUGGCUUAUAACUGUGACAUCCAACUCAGACAACAACACACGAGUGGUAUGCAAGAGCUCAGGGCAACCAGAAGUAGAUGGAUACCUCUCAGUGUAUGCGAAUGUCAGUAACUUUGCCAUCCUUAUUGGCUGCGUUAUUGGAGGUUUCUUCAGUAUUCUCAUCUUCUUUGGCCUGUUAUAUGUUGUUUUCAGGAGAUCUGAGAGUUUCCAACACUGUUUUAGGGGAAAAGACUGCGAGGAUGUCACCACAAUGGUGACAAAGGAUUAAACACAAACCUUUCAAUAAUGUUGCAUUAUUGUGCUUUUUGUAAUUAUAUUCACAAUGUUGUUUUUAAUUUCUUACUGUUUUCAUUCAGGCAUUAGCUAACAUUAAGUUUAAUCGCCUGACAGAAAAGUUUAUUACAUGAAAUUACGAUAGGCCUAAAAAAAAAAAAAAGAAAUCUCUUCUCAAAUUCUGUUUUUUCCCCAAGAAGUAACAAAAAACACUUGCCCAACUUUUUCUAAUUUUAAAAAAUAUUACUUGGGAACAAAAAGAUUUUAAACUUUCAUAGCAAGGAACAAAUUCACACCCCCAGAUGAUAAGUAGAGAAUAGAUUAUACACAUGCCAAUGUACUGUAGAGGAGAAACAUGGUUUUGCAAAGCCAAGAUUUGCCUUGAAGCAGAGUGUGAAUUAUAUAAUGACAAUUGGGAGAGGGUUAACUUUUUCUCCAUGGUGUAAAGGGAAUCCAGUAGUCCAGUAGCAGUGCACGCUACGUCGCAUGUUUGAUGUUUCUGACUGGUUUGAAUUUGCUGUUCAGAGUGCCUGCACAGCAAAUAUAAUUUCCCUGACCCACGCCUGUUACUUGGGUUGUGGUUUUUACUUUCGUUAGUUAUAGAGCCAUCACGGAAUAGGGAUAUUUUACGAAUACUCACUUUUAAUAAAUUGGUCUGAUUGAGAGGCAUGUUCAGAACAAUUUAUUGUAUAGUUUGAUUGACAAUUUGAGACAUAGCUGGAAUUUUGAGUUGUAAGCUUUGGCUUAAAAUAGAAAAAGGAAGGGGAAGAUUUGCGAUUUCAAUGAUUUUAAAUGCAGCCCUACACUUCAGCUGCACUUCUUAUAUUGCUCUUAGAGUAAUUAUUCAAAAAAUCAUAUAUAUAUAUAUAUUUUUUUUUACAAAAAAGUAAUAUAAAAGAUCUGGGCUUAUUCAGAAAAGACCUGCGACUAUAGCCCCAGACGCCCAGGCCUAAUGACGCCAAUGAUGCGGAGUUCCACAGGGAUCAGUUCUCGGACCGCUUCUGUUCAAUCUCUAUAUGCUACCUCUGGGCCAAAUUCUACAGAACAACAACAUUAACUAUGCCGAUGUUACUCAUACUCAUAUAUAUGGCUCUCGAACCGUAUUACAACAGCUCAAUAGACUGUGUCACCGU